Long non-coding RNA from Cyprinus carpio carpio, 380 nucleotides. NCBI's taxonomy places the organism in Eukaryota, Metazoa, Chordata, Actinopteri, Cypriniformes, Cyprinidae. The record is from Ensembl.
GCCCCCUUUGGUCUUGGCAGAUUUGGAGUAACCAAAGAUAUUUUUUUAAAGGUAAGAUGUUGUUGUUUGAUAUCAUCAAAAUUUUGGAUCUAAUUUCAUGUAUGCAGUUUAGAGCUGCUGGUUGUGUGGGGAUAUAGCUCAGUGGUAGAGCAUUUGACUGCAGAUCAAGAGGUCCUCAGUUCAAAUCUGGGUGCCCCCUUUGGUCUUGGCAGAUUUGGAGUAACCAAAGAUCUUUUUUUUUUAAAGGGAAGAUGUUGUUGUUUGAUAUUAUCAAAAUUUUGGAUCUAAUUUCACGUAUGCAGUUUAGAGCUGCUGGUUGUGUGGGGGUAUAGCUCAGGGAUGGAGCAUUUGACUGCAGAUCAAGAGGUCCCCAAUUCAAA